UCCAGGUGCAGUGGCACAUGCCUGUAGUCCCAGCUACUCAGGAGGCUGAGGCUGGAGGAUAGCUUGAGCCCAGGAGUUCUGGGCUGUAGUGCGCUAUGCCGAAUGGGUGUCCGCACUAAGUUCGGCAUCAAUAUGGUGACCUCCCAGGAGCAGGGAACCACCAGGUUGCCUAAGGAGGGGUGAACUGGCCCAGGUCAGAAAUGGAGCAGGUCAAAACUCCUGUGCUGAUCAGUAGUGGGAUCGCGCCUGUGAAUAGCCACUGUACUCCAGCCUGGGCAACAGAGCGAGACUCUGUCUCU
This 299-nucleotide signal recognition particle RNA is filed under the name Saimiri boliviensis boliviensis (Bolivian squirrel monkey). RNAcentral's name for it is "Metazoan signal recognition particle RNA (ENSSBOG00000006374.1)". It matches the Rfam family "Metazoan signal recognition particle RNA". From Rfam's summary of the family: The signal recognition particle (SRP) is a universally conserved ribonucleoprotein. It is involved in the co-translational targeting of proteins to membranes. The eukaryotic SRP consists of a 300-nucleotide 7S RNA and six proteins: SRPs 72, 68, 54, 19, 14, and 9. The record is from RNAcentral. Lineage: Eukaryota; Metazoa; Chordata; Mammalia; Primates; Cebidae.